Episyrphus balteatus (marmalade hoverfly) is the source of this 1292-nucleotide long non-coding RNA. RefSeq lists it as uncharacterized. The transcript has 3 exons. NCBI's taxonomy places the organism in Eukaryota, Metazoa, Arthropoda, Insecta, Diptera, Syrphidae. The record is from RefSeq and is a predicted model, not a curated record.
GCCAAAUCAAUACAAACGUCAGUUAAUUUGAAUUGUUUUUGAGCAAUUUGGAUGUAAUAGUUCAAUUUUGCUUUACCUUUCUCAAAGUUGGUGGAUUUUAUUGAAUAAACGUUUAAAAAAGUGAUAUUGGUAAUAAAUGUGUGUUAAAUUUAAUAAUCGAAAAUGUAUUCAUGUGAAGGAUAUUUUAUCUAAAUGUGUUUGUAGUUUGUGUGUUAAAAUAAUUAUUUUAAAAAUAAAAACAAAGUGGUGAAUACUACUUCAAAAAUAUUUGUCACAAACUGUACCAUCUGCUGGUGAUGUAUGCGUUUGAAAUUAAAAGUGCUUAGGUGGAACAUACGUUUACAUAUUAACAUUUUCGUGCAAAAGCAAACAUCUUUUGUUUGUGAUACAAUUUGUCCUGAAGUCGAGAAACAACGCUCAGAGGAAGUGGAUGUCGCUGCAUUCCAAUGGAUCCCGUGCAUUGUGGCUUAACUGUGGCUGAGAGAGAUAUAGUUGGAAUUCGUUACAGUUUAAAACAUCGGUUUGAGCGUCUAGCAAAUGAUUCAUCGCUGUGCAUUUGUCAGUUCCAUCCGCUGUAGUAUCUAAAGGCUCAGAACUUUCAAUUAAAUUUCGCAUAUGUGAUCUUAUUGAAUUUUUAUCUUCUUCGUUUUCAGCCUCUAGGUUCUUUUACCAAGUGUCAAAAAACGAAGAAACUUGCUCAGUUAGAACAUCUUCUUACCCUUAAACUUAAAUUUAAGGGCUUAUCUUGAGGCAGUGAUUUCCCUAUCCGAUAAGAUUGAAAUUACAGCACUUCGAUUUGCCAAAAGCAAUCAAUUUGAAUCAAUUUUAGCUCUUGUAGCCCAAGUUGCCUUUGUUUCUUUCUAAGAUCGGUAGCUGCAAUGUUCGAGUGAUGAAAAUGUCCCACCAAAGACCUCAUUUUAUUCAGGAGCAUCGAAAACGUUUCCACUGAACUAAUUGCAUUUUUUACACAAAUUUGUAGUGUGUGCUGCACAACAAAUACUCUUUUCAACCUCUUCAACUUUAUAGGUUGAUGACAGGACAUUAGCAGCAUUGUCGAUAACCUCUGCAUAUAGUACCUUACCUUGCAACUUGCAAGUACCAUUCUGCAACAAUUGAUUCCAAAAAUAAAGCUAAGUUUGCAGUUGUGUCUUGUGUGCCUUUCCUCCAUAUACUCAGCGCACAAUAAUUAUAGCUUUUCAAUUUCCAAUCAUCAUUGAUAAAAUGGAUGGUUAACGAUACUUACGAGUCUUCUACUUUGGACGACCAACCAUCUGUUUUCAAAGCCAGGAAGG